This 226-nucleotide unclassified non-coding RNA is filed under the name fungal sp. RNAcentral describes it as "partial internal transcribed spacer region". The stretch from base 1 to 46 matches the Rfam family "Eukaryotic small subunit ribosomal RNA", at positions 1786 to 1831 of the family's 1831-position model. Lineage: Eukaryota; Fungi. RNAcentral also lists the same sequence under 1 other name. The record is from RNAcentral.
AAGUCGUAACAAGGUUUCCGUAGGUGAACCUGCGGAAGGAUCAUUAUCAAAAGUCAAGUCGGGGGCUGUAAAGCUCUCGUCUACACCCAUGUCUUUUGCGUACUCUUGUUUCCUCGGUGGCGCAAGCUGCCGAUUGGACAAACCAAAACCUUUUUUUGUAAUUGCAAUCAGCGUCUGAAAAUAAUCUAAUUAUUUACAACUUUCAACAACGGAUCUCUUGGUUCUG